UGGGGAAUAUUGGACAAUGGGCGAAAGCCUGAUCCAGCCAUGCCGCGUGUGUGAAGAAGGUCUUCGGAUUGUAAAGCACUUUAAGUUGGGAGGAAGGGCAUUAACCUAAUACGUUAGUGUUUUGACGUUACCGACAGAAUAAGCACCGGCUAACUCUGUGCCAGCAGCCGCGGUAAAACAGAGGGUGCAAGCGUUAAUCGGAAUUACUGGGCGUAAAGCGCGCGUAGGUGGUUUGUUAAGUUGGAUGUGAAAUCCCCGGGCUCAACCUGGGAACUGCAUUCAAAACUGACUGACUAGAGUAUGGUAGAGGGUGGUGGAAUUUCCUGUGUAGCGGUGAAAUGCGUAGAUAUAGGAAGGAACACCAGUGGCGAAGGCGACCACCUGGACUAAUACUGACACUGAGGUGCGAAAGCGUGGGGAGCAAACA
RNAcentral lists this ribosomal RNA (427 nucleotides) under uncultured bacterium. RNAcentral's name for it is "partial 16S ribosomal RNA". It matches the Rfam family "Bacterial small subunit ribosomal RNA", at positions 355 to 774 of the family's 1533-position model. The record is from RNAcentral.